AAGCAUAUAACUAAGCGGAGGAAAAGAAACUAACCAGGAUUCCCUCAGUAAGGGCGACUGAAGCGGGAAGUGCUCAGGAUGUGAAUCUGCGCUUGUAUGAGCGCCGAAUUGUGGUCUGUCGACUGUGGCAUUACUGGCCGGGCCAAGUCCCUUGGAACAGGGCAGCUGAGAGGGUGAGACUCCCGUAGGCCUGGCUGGGUGAGCUAUGAGUCAAUGAGUCGAGUUGUUUGGGAUUGCAGCUCAAAGCGGGUGGUAAAUUCCAUCUAAAGCUAAAUAUUGGUGGGAGACCGAUAGCGUACAAGUACCGUGAGGGAAAGAUGCAAAGAACUUUGAAAAGAGAGUUAAAGAGUACCUGAAAUUGCUGAAAGGGAAGCGAAGGAAACCAGUGUCGGCGUGGUCAUAUUUCCCUGUCCGCUUGCGGAUUGGGCGCUGUGUCCUGUCUAUGUUGUUCUUGGUUGGUUUCGGUGGAAGAGCGCGGACAGAGUUGAUGUUCGUUGCUAGCAUCGUAGUUGACUGAGGAGGACGAAAUGGUUUUCUUUACCCCGUCUUG
RNAcentral lists this ribosomal RNA (550 nucleotides) under Nitzschia draveillensis. RNAcentral describes it as "partial 28S ribosomal RNA". It matches the Rfam family "Eukaryotic large subunit ribosomal RNA", at positions 36 to 656 of the family's 3401-position model. Lineage: Eukaryota; Bacillariophyta; Bacillariophyceae; Bacillariales; Bacillariaceae. The record is from RNAcentral.